GGAGUUUGGUCCGUGUCUCAGUACCAAUGUGGGGGACCUUCCUCUCAGAACCCCUACUGAUCGUCGGCUAGGUGGGCCGUUACCCCGCCUACAACCUAAUCAGACGCAUCCCCAUCCCAUAGCGGUGAACCUUUGGUAUUCUUCUAAUGGCAUCGGAAUACAACAUAGAGCAUUAAUCCGACUUUCGCCGGGCUAUUCUCUACUAUGGGGAAGGUUGGAUACGCGUUACUCACACGUGCGCCGGUCGCCAUCAUCGGUUGCAAGCAACCGACAUGCUGCCCCUCGACUUGCAUGUGUUAAGCCUGUAGCUAGCGUUCAUC
This 320-nucleotide ribosomal RNA is filed under the name uncultured Prevotella sp. RNAcentral describes it as "partial 16S ribosomal RNA". Lineage: Bacteria; Pseudomonadati; Bacteroidota; Bacteroidia; Bacteroidales; Prevotellaceae. The record is from RNAcentral.